GAGAGCUAGACAUAUGAUGAAUGGUCUAAAGACAUGUUUUGAAGUUUUCCUAUAUGUGAAAAGCUAUGAUCAUAAGCUGUUCUCUCAAUCUGAUGGGGCUAUUACAUGGUUGAUGGAAAAGAUGUCAUGGUUAAUUCUCUCCCUUUGCUCAUGUCAUCAAGUUCUCCACCCUAUCAUGCUAUAUUGGUAAUUGUGAGCCUUUGAAAUGAAUCAGAUUAAUGGACUAUGGAGAAGGAAGUGCAUUUGUAAAAGAAAGGAUCAACCUUGUUGGCAGUACAGUCGUUGUGGAUGGCAAUUUCCUGAAGAGAGAGUGUCCAUGCUUUGUAAGGGGAACUUGUUAUGAAAAAUACUUGGUAAGGAACAGAGCUAUGGAUAAGCCAAUACAUGGGAAAGCAGCUGGUUGGAUUUUAAGUUAUGCCUUGCAGAAACAGAAUUAGUCUCCAUUCUGAUGACAAAUACUGCUAAUGAGGCUUGUGAGCCCUUUUAAGGAAACAUAGCUUGGUCUCCUCAAGAUGCUUUCAUUGAUCUGUUGAAGGAUUCUGAGUUGGCACAUCUGAAAAGCUUGAGGAGUAACCCUCGUACCAAUUCACUUGAAGCCUUCCUAUAAGAUGCAUAUCUUCUGAUCUAAAGGGAAGGUGAUGUAACAAGAGCAGCUGCCCCAACAUUGAAUGGUCAAGACAAAUGUCCUCAGAUUGAAGAAUUGGGAUAUCUAAUGAACCUUUCUUGGAGACUGAUUUUUGGCUAUCUUGAGGGAUUCAAUGGCAAAGAAGCUGCUCAAAGGGCGGAUUUGUUUAAAGAUCCAAAUUUGUACGAGUUGGGAUUCUGAUAGUAGGGUCAAGAAUAACAAGAAUGUGUUAUCUUGGGAGGCUCAUUUACUUCAAUUUCAAUUGAGAUAAUGAAAAAUCAUUUUAUCUUUUUAGUGCUCCCCCAAAAGGAAGAAUGGAAGCUCAUAUCGAUAAUUCAUUCCUAAGGCUUAAAAAUUUGAUGGAGGUCAAAUUGUUGCACUGCAGCAAGUUGCAAAGGAUUCGCAACAUUUGGGCAUCAACCGUUUCUUCACUGUCUUGUAAUGGAUUGGCAAGAAGCAUUAGAUUUUCACUCCAGCUGUAAAGUCAUUUCCAGCACUUAAAAUGAGAAACGGUUGAUGGACACUGAUGUUACAUCAACAACACGCGAAAUGAGAAGUGUUUCCUUCCCUUUGACCACUUCUCCCAGUCAUUUCCCAUGUCCUAAAAUUUUACUUGAAAGCCUGGAGAUCAAGCAUGUUCACCAUGGCUUACCAGUGGCCCAGGAUUUGCUAUAUUCCUCAUUUUUGUGUAGAAGAAUCCAAGCCUAUCAUUUUGCAAGUUUCGGCACCAAGUCUGUAAUGUCUUCUUCGUUGUGCUUUGUACUGAUUUUUAGAUAUAGGCACUGAAGAUAUUCGACAUGUCCACUUAGUACAUAUCAUCUAUUUAUCAGAUCAUCUUCUGCUUCACUUUUAAUAUAUGCCUGGAGAUUUGGGCUCAUAUCCCACUCCAUUGUAAUUAUUUGAGUAAUUAAUAAAAUUUUGGGAUGACGUCCC
Molecule: long non-coding RNA, 1558 nt
Organism: Coffea eugenioides
Lineage: Eukaryota; Viridiplantae; Streptophyta; Magnoliopsida; Gentianales; Rubiaceae
Exons: 5
Source: RefSeq, a predicted model, not a curated record